GGACGAGCCCAGCCAAACUGCCCGCCUGGGUUGGCCCAUCGUCGCCCUUGCCCAGCAACACUGCAUUGGCCUGACUCCGCCUCGCCUGGCCGUUGACCAAGCCCAGCUCAUGUGCAAGCCGAACCGGCCCUUGUGGCUAUGAGUUUCGAACUGUUCGAAGUGUGAGGAUUCAUUCGACUACGUUGGUUCGUCUGCUUCAUGAAUUCGUUCGUCUUCUAAGCGAGAUCACAUGCAAGAUGAUUAUUUCCCUAGAUACCAUUACUAUCAUUGUCAUGCUAGUUGUCUCGUUUCUUUCGAUAUGUCUCGCUGCCCACCACUUAAAUGGCAGCCUCCCAACAUUGCCAUGAAAAGACUCUAAUCUUUCCACAACCCAACAAACCAAUUUUUUGCCUAUGUCACAGCUUGCUCAACCUUCUUAUAGCAUUGCGAGUUGCAGGUGCGGAUGCUUUGCAUGUGACAACUUGGAUUCCUUGUUAUAUCACCCUAUUAUUGAUAUAUUUUUAAUGCACUUAUAUAUGUGGUAAAAGGUGGAAGACUUGACCUUCUAGCCUAGUGUUUUGUUC
Molecule: long non-coding RNA, 563 nt
Organism: Hordeum vulgare subsp. vulgare (domesticated barley)
Lineage: Eukaryota; Viridiplantae; Streptophyta; Magnoliopsida; Poales; Poaceae
Exons: 2
Source: RefSeq, a predicted model, not a curated record